RNAcentral lists this ribosomal RNA (851 nucleotides) under uncultured Acidobacteriota bacterium. RNAcentral describes it as "bacterial SSU rRNA". It matches the Rfam family "Bacterial small subunit ribosomal RNA", at positions 71 to 902 of the family's 1533-position model. Lineage: Bacteria; Pseudomonadati; Acidobacteriota. The record is from RNAcentral.
AAAGUGGAGCAAUCCAUUAGUAGAGUGGCGAACGGGUGAGUAACACGUGGGUGACCUACCUUCGAAUGGGGGAUAACGUCCCGAAAGGGACGCUAAUACCGCAUAACAUCCUGCUUUUGAACAGGUGGAGAUCAAAGCCGGGGAUCGCAAGACCUGGCGUUUGAAGAGGGGCCCGCGUCUGAUUAGCUAGUUGGUGAGGUAACGGCUCACCAAGGCGACGAUCAGUAUCCGGCCUGAGAGGGCGGACGGACACACUGGGACUGAGACACGGCCCAGACUCCUACGGGAGGCAGCAGUGGGGAAUUGUUCGCAAUGGGCGCAAGCCUGACGACGCAACGCCGCGUGGAGGAUGAAGGUCUUCGGAUUGUAAACUCCUGUUGCCCGGGACGAAAAGCCUCGACCUAACACGUUGAGGUCUGACGGUACCGGGUGAGGAAGCCCCGGCUAACUCUGUGCCAGCAGCCGCGGUAAUACAGAGGGGGCAAGCGUUGUUCGGAAUUACUGGGCGUAAAGGGCGCGUAGGCGGCCUUCUAAGUCGAACGUGAAAUCCCCGGGCUCAACCCGGGAACUGCGUCCGAUACUGGAAGGCUUGAAUUCGGGAGAGGGAUGCGGAAUUCCAGGUGUAGCGGUGAAAUGCGUAGAUAUCUGGAGGAACACCGGUGGCGAAGGCGGCAUCCUGGACCGGCAUUGACGCUGAGGCGCGAAAGCCAGGGGAGCAAACGGGAUUAGAUACCCCGGUAGUCCUGGCCCUAAACGAUGAAUGCUUGGUGUGGCGGGUAUCGAUCCCUGCCGUGCCGAAGCUAACGCAUUAAGCAUUCCGCCUGGGGAGUACGGUCGCAAGGCUGAAACUC